AGCCUGAUGCAGCCACGCCGCGUGAGGGAUGAAGGUUUUCGGAUCGUAAACCUCUGUCACAAGGGAAGAAACCGCACUGUGCUAAUCAGCAGUGCCUUGACGGUACCUUCAAAGGAAGCACCGGCUAAGUCCGUGCCAGCAGCCGCGGUAAUA
Molecule: ribosomal RNA, 153 nt
Filed under: uncultured bacterium
Lineage: Bacteria
Description: partial 16S ribosomal RNA
Rfam family: Bacterial small subunit ribosomal RNA
Source: RNAcentral